GAACGGUAGCACAGAGAGCUUGCUCUCGGGUGACGAGUGGCGGACGGGUGAGUAAUGUCUGGGAAACUGCCUGAUGGAGGGGGAUAACUACUGGAAACGGUAGCUAAUACCGCAUAACGUCUUCGGACCAAAGUGGGGGACCUUCGGGCCUCACACCAUCGGAUGUGCCCAGAUGGGAUUAGCUAGUAGGUGGGGUAACGGCUCACCUAGGCGACGAUCCCUAGCUGGUCUGAGAGGAUGACCAGCCACACUGGAACUGAGACACGGUCCAGACUCCUACGGGAGGCAGCAGUGGGGAAUAUUGCACAAUGGGCGCAAGCCUGAUGCAGCCAUGCCGCGUGUAUGAAGAAGGCCUUCGGGUUGUAAAGUACUUUCAGUGGGGAGGAAGGCGAUGAAGUUAAUAACUUCGUCGAUUGACGUUACCCGCAGAAGAAGCACCGGCUAACUCCGUGCCAGCAGCCGCGGUAAUACGGAGAGUGCAAGCGUUAAUCGGAAUUACUGGGCGUAAAGCGCACGCAGGCGGUCUGUCAAGUCGGAUGUGAAAUCCCCGGGCUCAACCUGGGAACUGCAUUCGAAACUGGCAGGCUAGAGUCUUGUAGAGGGGGGUAGAAUUCCAGGUGUAGCGGUGAAAUGCGUAGAGAUUUGGAGGAAUACCGGUGGCGAAGGCGGCCCCCUGGACAAAGACUGACGCUCAGGUGCGAAAGCGUGGGGAGCAAACAGGAUUAGAUACCCUGGUAGUCCACGCCGUAAACGAUGUCGACUUGGAGGUUGUGCCCUUGAGGCGUGGCUUCCGGAGCUAACGCGUUAAGUCGACCGCCUGGGGAGUACGGCCGCAAGGUUAAAACUCAAAUGAAUUGACGGGGGCCCGCACAAGCGGUGGAGCAUGUGGUUUAAUUCGAUGCAACGCGAAGAACCUUACCUGGCCUUGACAUCCACGGAAUUUGGCAGAGAUGCCUUAGUGCCUUCGGGAACCGUGAGACAGGUGCUGCAUGGCUGUCGUCAGCUCGUGUUGUGAAAUGUU
This 1021-nucleotide ribosomal RNA is filed under the name uncultured bacterium. RNAcentral's name for it is "bacterial SSU rRNA". It matches the Rfam family "Bacterial small subunit ribosomal RNA", at positions 64 to 1076 of the family's 1533-position model. The record is from RNAcentral.